Molecule: non-coding RNA, 762 nt
Organism: Lepisosteus oculatus (spotted gar)
Lineage: Eukaryota; Metazoa; Chordata; Actinopteri; Semionotiformes; Lepisosteidae
Source: the annotation of a RefSeq genome assembly
GUCCAGUCACUGUACAGAACUGGACUAAGUGGACACUGAGAGACCAGUCCAGUCAGUGGGGGGUGAACUGGCCUCAGCCUCAGCAGUGACCGCAGUGACAGUUGAACCGCCCACCCCCGUCAACUAAAACCAAAAAAAAACAAAAAAACAACCCAGUUCUCUUAGCUCAGCAGUGUCACCAGCUUUCAGUUCGCGUUUCUCCCACCCUGCUCGACAGCGGCUCAAAUGGCGACGCUUUACAUAAAGGCUUCUCUCUUCUUCCUCAGCUGCGCUGGAGCGUGGGGCUGCAGUGUCUCUGGAGAAACCGUGCUGAGAGUCGGACUCGGGGACACCGUCACCCUGCCCUGUGACCUCAGACUCCAACACGAGACCACCUGGUUCAUGCUUCGGAACGGGACCCUGUCUGUGGGGGUUUUAGCCAAUAAAAACCCAGGACAAAUCCAGAUGCGCCCCUUCAGCUACGUGAGGAGACCGGACUCUCGCUUCAGCCUGGUGCUGAACCCCUCCACUAACUCCUCCAGUCUGAGGAUUGAGGGGGUCACAGAGACAGACCAGGGGCUGUACUAUUGCGCCACCAGAGACAGAGGAGAGAUUCACAUCGGAAAAGGCACCAGGAUCCAUGUGGGUGAUAGAAAUAGAGGCUGAAUGUCAGAACAUCACCAGACCGUCUGGAAUCGACUGGCCAUGCCUGACCAUCCUGGUCGUGACUCCCCCUCUGUCCACCCUGCUGACAUCAUGCUGCAUCUUCUGUCUCUUUUACAG